GAUGAACGCUGGCGGCGUGCCUAAUACAUGCAAGUCGAGCGAACAGACGAGGAGCUUGCUCCUCUGAUGUUAGCGGCGGACGGGUGAGUAACACGUGGAUAACCUACCUAUAAGACUGGGAUAACUUCGGGAAACCGGAGCUAAUACCGGAUAAUAUAUUGAACCGCAUGGUUCAAUAGUGAAAGACGGUUUUGCUGUCACGUAUAGAUGGAUCCGCGCCGCAUUAGCUAGUUGGUAAGGUAACGGCUUACCAAGGCAACGAUGCGUAGCCGACCUGAGGGGGUGAUCGGCCACACUGGAACUGAGACACGCUCCAGACUCCUAAGGGAGGCAGCAGUAGGGAAUCUUCCGCAAUGGGCGAAAGCCUGACGGAGCAACGCCGCGUGAGUGAUGAAGGUCUUCGGAUCGUAAAACUCUGUUAUUCGGGAAGAACAAAUGUGUAAGUAACUAUGCACCUCUUGACGGUACCUAAUCAGAAAGCCACGGCUAACUACGUG
This 497-nucleotide ribosomal RNA is filed under the name uncultured bacterium. Its description in RNAcentral is "partial 16S ribosomal RNA". It matches the Rfam family "Bacterial small subunit ribosomal RNA", at positions 28 to 507 of the family's 1533-position model. The record is from RNAcentral.